Molecule: ribosomal RNA, 419 nt
Filed under: bacterium
Lineage: Bacteria
Description: partial 16S ribosomal RNA
Rfam family: Bacterial small subunit ribosomal RNA
Source: RNAcentral
UGGGGGAUAUUGCACAAUGGGCGAAAGCCUGAUGCAGCGACGCCGUGUGGGGGAUGAAGGCCUUCGGGUUGUAAACUUCUUUUGCUCUGAACAAGGCGCACCAUGGGGUGUGUUGAGUGUAGGGGUUGAUUAGCGCCGGCUAACUACGUGCCAGCAGCCGCGGUAAUACGUAGGGCGCGAGCGUUGUCCGGAAUUAUUGGGCGUAAAGGGCUUGUAGGUGGCUGGUUGCGUCUGUCGUGAAAGCUCAUGGCUUAACUUGGGGUGUGCGGUGGGUACGGGCUGGCUUGAGUGCAGUAGGGGAGGGUGGAAUUCCUGGUGUAGCGGUGGAAUGCGCAGAUAUCAGGAGGAAUACCGGUGGCGAAGGCGGGUCUCUGGGCUGUUACUGACACUGAGGAGCGAAAGCAUGGGGAGCGAACAGG